CCGGCCAUGCGGAGCCGCCUCGAGAGCCAAGCUGGACGGAGCCCACUGCCGGGGAAGAGAAGGCCAGGUGGUUUCCUAGCAAUGAUACCUGAGUUGUGCGCUCCAGACGGGGCCCUAAAUUAAUCGCCAGUCUCUAUUUAUGAGGAAGUCAUGAUCUCGCGGUUUGUGAGUUCGAGCCCGGCGUCGGGCUCUGUG
Leopardus geoffroyi (Geoffroy's cat) is the source of this 195-nucleotide long non-coding RNA. RefSeq lists it as uncharacterized. Lineage: Eukaryota; Metazoa; Chordata; Mammalia; Carnivora; Felidae. The transcript is spliced from 3 exons. The record is from RefSeq and is a predicted model, not a curated record.